RNAcentral lists this long non-coding RNA (318 nucleotides) under Theobroma cacao (cacao). Its description in RNAcentral is "long non-coding RNA (TCAC_LNC003610)". Lineage: Eukaryota; Viridiplantae; Streptophyta; Magnoliopsida; Malvales; Malvaceae. The record is from RNAcentral.
UAGUUUUUUCAUGAUAAAGUUUAUAAUGAGGCUUUAAAGUCAUGUAAUAGAGGCCGUUGUAAUGAAAGGGUCUGUUAAGAGGUCUUAUAGGUAUGUAAUUGGUCUUAAAAAUUAAUGAAAUUCACCUUUUCUUCUUUAAAAAAAAAAUAAUAAUAUAGCUUACCUGUCCGUACACAAUGAUUGUUCCAUUGGUUGCAUUGACAGCAUCUGCUUCAAAAGAAAAAGAAAUACAUAUAAAACAGUUGAUCAAACCAUGAAAUUGCAGAAAUCAAUCAAUAAACAGGUUUCCCGUACUCAGAUACAGUAGGUAGAACAAGA